GCCUAAAGCGUCCGUAGCCGGCUCUGUAAGUUUUCGGUUAAAUCUGUAUGCUCAACAUAUAGGCUGCCGGGAAUACUGCAAAGCUAGGGAGUGGGAGAGGUAGACGGCACUCCGUAGGAAGGGGUAAAAUCCUUUGAUCUAUGGAUGACCACCUGUGGCGAAGGCGGUCUACCAGAACACGUUCGACGGUGAGGGAUGAAAGCUGGGGGAGCAAACCGGAUUAGAUACCCGGGUAGUCCCAGCUGUAAACUAUGCAAACUCAGUGAUGCAUUGGCUUGUGGCCAGUGCAGUGCCGCAGGGAAGCCGUUAAGUUUGCCGCCUGGGAAGUACGUACGCAAGUAUGAAACUUAAAGGAAUUGGCGGGGGAGCACCACAAGGGGUGAAGCCUGCGGUUCAAUUGGAGUCAACGCCAGAAAUCUUACCCGAAGAGACAGCAGAAUGAAGGUCAAGCUGGAGACUUUACCAGACAAGCUGAGAAGUGGUGCAUGGCCGUCGCCAGCUCGUGCCGUGAGAUGUCCUGUUAAGUCAGGUAACGAGCGAGAUCCCUGCCUCUAGUUGCCACCAUUACUCUCGGGAGUAGUGGGGCGAAUUAGCGGGACUGCCGUAGUUAAUACGGAGGAAGGAGAGGGCCACGGCAGGUCAGUAUGCCCCGAA
Molecule: ribosomal RNA, 654 nt
Filed under: uncultured archaeon
Lineage: Archaea
Description: bacterial SSU rRNA
Rfam family: Archaeal small subunit ribosomal RNA
Source: RNAcentral